CGCUUCCCGAUCCCCAUCCAGCCCCACAAGAGCCUGUGAUAUUUUCCUUAUAUGAUCGGGCCUGCUUGCCCGGGGCCUGAGAGGAUUAUGAGACAAGUUAGGCGAUUUGGGGCCAGUGAAUGGCGCG
Molecule: small nucleolar RNA, 127 nt
Filed under: Echinops telfairi (small Madagascar hedgehog)
Lineage: Eukaryota; Metazoa; Chordata; Mammalia; Afrosoricida; Tenrecidae
Description: small Cajal body-specific RNA 17 (ENSETEG00000025058.1)
Source: RNAcentral